ACUGUUUGUUUGUCUCAGGUUGGUUUCAUUCAUAAAAUCAAAUCCAUGGAGCCUGGCAACAUUUUAAAAUGUGAAGCACGUGCAGCGUCUCGCUAUUUGCUAUGGAAGUUGAUAGCAUCUCGAGGAAAAAACGGGCAAGAAAUGAGGAAUCAUAAAUGAAACAGAAUUUGAGAUACAAAUUAAGAGAAACACACGAAAAAGUGGCCACAAAAGGUGAUAUUCAGAGCGCGUGCUGGGACAAGAUUGGAAUCAUCUGCAGCCUAUCGUUGGCCCAGCUCUCGCCCAGACUUUUUAAUUGUCGCGCACUCAAAUUGUUCGAAAGGGUGUGAGAGAACUCAGGAGUUGCCUGUUGAUGGCUUCAUUCAUAAGAAACGCCUUUUCGGGCAGUGGCAGCGGAAACCGUAUAUUGAGGAAAUCUCUAUCAAUAGACGCUAUCUAAGAAGAAUUCCUCAGAAAACGGAUAUUCGAAAAGAAGGAACAAAACUACUCAGAAUGAAAGGCUUUCUAACUUCUAUUAGGACC
This is a long non-coding RNA of Drosophila montana, 522 nucleotides long. RefSeq lists it as uncharacterized. The transcript is spliced from 3 exons. NCBI's taxonomy places the organism in Eukaryota, Metazoa, Arthropoda, Insecta, Diptera, Drosophilidae. The record is from RefSeq and is a predicted model, not a curated record.